GUAUAUGAGGUGAUUAAUUGGAGGGCAAAUCAAGUGCCAGCAGCCGCGGUAAUACUUGUUCCAAGAGUGUGUAUGAUGAUUGAUGCAGUUAAAAAGUCCGUAGUUUAUUUUUUAAGAAGCAAUAUGAGGUGUACUGUAUAGUUGGGAGAAAGAUGAAAUGUGACGACCCUGACUGGACGAACAGAAGCGAAAGCUGUACACUUGUAUGUAUUUUUUGAACAAGGACGUAAGCUGGAGGAGCGAAGAUGAUUAGAUACCAUUGUAGUUCCAGCGGUAAACUAUGCCGACGAUGUGAUAUGAAAAUGUUAAUUUGUAUUACAUAAUAGAAAUUUGAGUUUUUUGGCUCUGGGGAUAGUAUGAUCGCAAGAUUGAAAAUUAAAGAAAUUGACGGAAGAAUACCACAAGGAGUGGAUUGUGCGGCUUAAUUUGACUCAACGCGAGGUAACUUACCAAUAUUUUAUUAUUUUGGGAGAACGGUUUUUUGUUUGAGAAUGAUAAUAGUGGUGCAUGGCCGUUUUCAAUGGAUGCUGUGAAGUUUUGAUUAAUUUCAACAAGACGUGAGACCCCUAUUUUUUAUUAAAGACAGACACAAUCAGUGUAGGAAGGAAAGGAUUAAAACAGGUCCGUUAUGCCCUCUGACAUUUUGGGCUGCACGCGCAAUACAAUAGAUAUA
Molecule: ribosomal RNA, 673 nt
Filed under: Vairimorpha ceranae
Lineage: Eukaryota; Fungi; Microsporidia; Nosematidae
Description: SSU rRNA
Rfam family: Microsporidia small subunit ribosomal RNA
Source: RNAcentral